This is a long non-coding RNA of Nylanderia fulva, 158 nucleotides long. RefSeq lists it as uncharacterized. NCBI's taxonomy places the organism in Eukaryota, Metazoa, Arthropoda, Insecta, Hymenoptera, Formicidae. The record is from RefSeq and is a predicted model, not a curated record.
AAAAUAUCCUGAUGGACAUAUUAAAUGACAUUUUUUUAAACAUAAGACCAAAACAUGUUGAUGUAACUGCAGCAUUAAUUAUUAUUAUUAAUAACGUAUAUUCCGUAAAUCUAACUGAGGAAAUAAAGGAAUACGUUAUAAGGUUCAAGUUCCACGCA